AUGAGUAUACUCAGCUAGAACUGUCGCGGGGCUGGCAAACCCGUGACAGUUUGUGAGCUUCGCAAUUUGGCGAAGCAGUAUGCCCCCUCAAUGUUAUGAAUUGCUGAAACAUAGUUAGAGGGUUCUCAAGUAGAAAGUUUGGCUAGUACUUUGAAUUAUGAUAAUAGUUUUGCUGUUAGUAGCUCCAGUAGAAGCGGAGGUCCUGGUAUUUUUUUGGAAUAA
Molecule: ribosomal RNA, 222 nt
Filed under: Triticum aestivum (bread wheat)
Lineage: Eukaryota; Viridiplantae; Streptophyta; Magnoliopsida; Poales; Poaceae
Description: partial small subunit ribosomal RNA
Source: RNAcentral